Molecule: ribosomal RNA, 626 nt
Filed under: Enterococcus faecium
Lineage: Bacteria; Bacillati; Bacillota; Bacilli; Lactobacillales; Enterococcaceae
Description: bacterial SSU rRNA
Rfam family: Bacterial small subunit ribosomal RNA
Source: RNAcentral
GAGUGGCGAACGGGUGAGUAACACGUGGGUAACCUGCCCAUCAGAAGGGGAUAACACUUGGAAACAGGUGCUAAUACCGUAUAACAAUCAAAACCGCAUGGUUUUGAUUUGAAAGGCGCUUUCGGGUGUCGCUGAUGGAUGGACCCGCGGUGCAUUAGCUAGUUGGUGAGGUAACGGCUCACCAAGGCCACGAUGCAUAGCCGACCUGAGAGGGUGAUCGGCCACAUUGGGACUGAGACACGGCCCAAACUCCUACGGGAGGCAGCAGUAGGGAAUCUUCGGCAAUGGACGAAAGUCUGACCGAGCAACGCCGCGUGAGUGAAGAAGGUUUUCGGAUCGUAAAACUCUGUUGUUAGAGAAGAACAAGGAUGAGAGUAACUGUUCAUCCCUUGACGGUAUCUAACCAGAAAGCCACGGCUAACUACGUGCCAGCAGCCGCGGUAAUACGUAGGUGGCAAGCGUUGUCCGGAUUUAUUGGGCGUAAAGCGAGCGCAGGCGGUUUCUUAAGUCUGAUGUGAAAGCCCCCGGCUCAACCGGGGAGGGUCAUUGGAAACUGGGAGACUUGAGUGCAGAAGAGGAGAGUGGAAUUCCAUGUGUAGCGGUGAAAUGCGUAUAUAUAUGGAGGA